This 985-nucleotide long non-coding RNA is filed under the name Pongo abelii (Sumatran orangutan). RNAcentral's name for it is "lincRNA". The record is from RNAcentral. Lineage: Eukaryota; Metazoa; Chordata; Mammalia; Primates; Hominidae.
AGUGGAUUUCAGGAUUCCUCUAAGAAGCUUUGGAAUGCCAGAAGAUAACACAAGUGAGAAGAAAAAAUAAAACAAGAGGAAGGAUAUACUUCCCAUAAGGGGACAAAGUACAGCCGCAGCGUCCUCCGCUUGGGCCAUGGAACAGCUGCAGGUUUUGCCCUGAUUACCCUGGUGGUAAAGUCUGAUUGGUUAUGAUUCCCGGUGUCCAAAAGAUAAACACGGGCUGUGCAGUGGAGCCACACGCAUGCCUGUGCACGGCCACGCCAGGUCAGAAACCCAGCCCCUCUGCUUGGGAGGCACGCAGGGCUCCGGCUGAAGCCUGAAGCUUGGGAUCCUCAGAGCACAGACGUCCUAGGGCUGUGUGAAGUUAGUGAGAUGAGGUGUAUGGAGAGAGCUCGGAGAGGAGAGGGAGUCUCGAUUGCUGUCGCCGUGGCUCAGAGAUGCCUGCAAGAGAUGUCCGAUGGAUCUGAUGGAGAGGUGGCAGGCGAAAUGCACCUGGCCUCAGGGUCAGGGGCUGUGAAUACAGUAGCAGUUGUAGCUAUGUGGUCAGAGUGGACUAGGACGGUCCUUCCACCAAGAAGGUUGGGCCUUCCUGCUCCUCGUUGUCCAGCUGCAGAAACUGAUCUCAUCCCUCAGGGCUUGGCACAACUGCCCCUUCCUCCUCACAUUCCCAAAUAUACCUACCCCUCCCCAACUCAAUCCUCCUCACCAGACUGUGGUUCCCAGAUGACAGGGCAGAGUUGGACUCACCUGUGUCUGCCAGGCCAGCUCACCAUGGGGGCAGGUCCCAAGAGGCCUCUGGAUUUGGACCAACUUCCAGUGUGACCUUGAACAAGCCCUUAGCCUCCCUCAGCCUCCGUUGCAUGAGGGGUUGUGCUGGCACAUCUCAGAGCAGGUGGUGCUACCUGGUGAGUUGAGGGCUCUGUCCAUCAUCUUUGUCACUGUAAUGCUGGGUAACAAAUGAACACGAAACAAUGAGUGCUCG